RNAcentral lists this ribosomal RNA (253 nucleotides) under uncultured bacterium. RNAcentral's name for it is "partial 16S ribosomal RNA". It matches the Rfam family "Bacterial small subunit ribosomal RNA", at positions 524 to 776 of the family's 1533-position model. The record is from RNAcentral.
UACAGAAGGUGCGAGCGUUAAUCGGAAUUACUGGGCGUAAAGGGUGCGUAGGUGGUUUUGUAAGUUAGGUGUGAAAGUCCCGGGCUUAACCUGGGGAUUGCGCCUGAUACUGCAAAGCUAGAGUACUGUAGAGGAAAGUGGAAUUUCCAGUGUAGCGGUGAAAUGCGUAGAUAUUGGAAGGAACAUCAGUGGCGAAGGCGAAUCUCUGGACAGUUACUGACACUGAGGCACGAAGGCCAGGGGAGCAAACGGG